AUUGUGCCAGCGGCCGCGGUAAUACGGAGGAUCCAAGCGUUAUCCGGAUUUAUUGGGUUUAAAGGGUGCGCAGGCGGAUCAAUAAGUCAGGGGUGAAAAAUUUCAGCUUAACUGGAAUCGUGCCUUUGAUACUGUUGGACUAGAGUAUAAUUGACGUGACUGGAAUGUGAUGUGUAGCGGUGAAAUGCUUAGAUAUGUCACAGAACGCCAAUCGUGAAGACAGGUCACGAAAUUAUUACUGACGCUCAUGCACGAAAGCGUGGGGAUCAAACAGGAUUAGAUACCCUGGUAGUCCACGCUGUAAACGAUGAUUACUCGUUGUUGGGCAGUGAUGCUCAGUGGCUAAGCGAAAGCGAUAAGUAAUCCACCUGGGGAGUACGAUCGCAAGGUUGAAACUCAAAGGAAUUGACGGGGGCCCGCACAAGCGGAGGAGCAUGUGGUUUAAUUCGAUGAUACGCGAGGAACCUUACCCGGGCUUGAACGUAAGACGAAUAUAUAAGAGAUUAUAUAGCCUUCGGGCGUCUUGCGAGGUGCUGCAUGGUUGUCGUCAGCUCGUGCCGUGAGGUGUUAGGUUAAGUCCUGCAACGAGCGCAACCCUUACACUUAGUUGCCAGCACGUAAUGGUGGGGACUCUAAGUGAACUGCCUACGCAAGUAGAGAGGAAGGUGGGGAUGACGUCAAAUCAGCACGGCCCUUAUGUCCGGGGCUACACACGUGCUACAAUGGUAUGUACAGAGGGCAGCCACCUGGCGACAGGGAGCUAAUCCUCAAAGCAUAUCUCAGUUCGGAUUGGAGUCUGUAACUCGACUCUAUGAAGUUGGAUUCGCUAGUAAUCGCGCAUCAGCCAUGGCGCGGUGAAUACGUUCCCGGGCCUUGUACACACCGCCCGUCAAGCCAUGGAAGCCUGUGGUACCUAAAGUCCGUGCCCGCAAGGAGCGGCCUACGGUAAACCGGUAACUGGGGCUAAGUCGUAACAAGGUAACCAAU
RNAcentral lists this ribosomal RNA (987 nucleotides) under uncultured bacterium. Its description in RNAcentral is "bacterial SSU rRNA". It matches the Rfam family "Bacterial small subunit ribosomal RNA", at positions 502 to 1504 of the family's 1533-position model. The record is from RNAcentral.